RNAcentral lists this small RNA (29 nucleotides) under Bombyx mori (domestic silkworm). RNAcentral describes it as "ovarian small RNA-25037". The record is from RNAcentral. Lineage: Eukaryota; Metazoa; Arthropoda; Insecta; Lepidoptera; Bombycidae.
UCACAGUUUUGAGCGUUGGCGAGGUCGGC